Molecule: non-coding RNA, 563 nt
Organism: Prunus avium (sweet cherry)
Lineage: Eukaryota; Viridiplantae; Streptophyta; Magnoliopsida; Rosales; Rosaceae
Source: RefSeq, a predicted model, not a curated record
UCACCCUAUCUCUAUCUCUCUGUACUAUAUUGUUACCAGCAUUCAGAUCUUCUGUGUUUGUUUUACAUUCAUACAGAUUGGGAGAUGUUGUCAUGGCAUGCAAGUACAAAUUCAAUUGAUGUAUCAUUUUGCUUUAUCUUCUCUUUCUGUGGAGACAUAAGGGCGGCCAUGAAUUUCGACGUCAUUCCAGGCUAACUCUGCAGAACAUGUGAUUUCAGGCUAACUCUGUGGGAAGCCAACAGGAAGGGGAACUGAUUAACGUUAUCAUUCAAAAUCACAGGUCUCAGCAUAAGGUCAAAUCCAUCCAAAAAGAAACGAACAUCAAAACAGGAAGGAUCCGAAAAUCAACAAAGGCAAUAAGGCCAUGACAAAUUCUUUAUUCAAACCAUCCAAUGGUGCAUAUGCCAGUUUUGAAUAACAAAAUACCAUAUUUAAGUUUCACUGGAGAAGGCAAUCCUAUCAGGUUAGAAGACAAAUGGAAGUGGGGCAGAGUUCAAACUCUGUAUCAUCAGCCAAAUGCAAAGAGGUUGCUGUUUCCUAUGAAAAGGGAAAGGAGCAUGAAA